UGUCUGUGUGUGUGUGUCAGUAUGUCUGUCUGUCUGUGUGUCAGUAUAUAUGUGUGUGUGUAUAUCUGUGUGUCAGUAUGUGUAUGUGUCAGUAUGUCUGUCAGUGCGUCAGUAUGUCUGUUAGUGCAUGUGUAUGCAUGUGUCAGUAUAUCUGUCUGUGUGCCAGUAUGUCUGUGUGUGUGUGUCAGUAUAUCAGUCUGUGUGUGUCAGUGUAUGUGCCUGUGUGUGUCAGUAUUUCUCAGUGUAUGUGGGUGUCAGUAUAUCUGUCAGUGUGUGGGUGUCAGUAUUUCUGUCAGUGUAUGUGUGUCAGUAUGUUGAUCAG
Non-coding RNA from Pelobates cultripes (western spadefoot toad), 322 nucleotides. The record is from the annotation of a GenBank genome assembly. NCBI's taxonomy places the organism in Eukaryota, Metazoa, Chordata, Amphibia, Anura, Pelobatidae.